ACCCGAAUCCAUUACUUCUAUUUUAAACACUCGAUGGUCCUUGAAAACUUCUAAUUUAAUAAGUAAUAAUAUCUUUUAAAUUAAUAAUGUGCUGGAGUGUCAAAAUAAUUACGGGGUUCAAUACUCCGACGACGGAUAAAAUUAGUCAUAUCACGCAAAUCAACUGCUUUUGCGCACUGUACUAAAUUUUUAGGCAAAUAAGACUAAAUACUCGUCUGAAUCGCGAUUCUUUUACAUAACAAAACAAUAAACAUGUUUUGGUCCAAUUAAACAUGACGAUCUAGGGUGGACGGAUUAGCUCAGUGGUUUGCACGCUGUCUUUCCAAUCCAGAGGUUUGGAGUUCGAUCCCCGACAGAUGCCUCAGGAAUUUUCAGAAAUUUCCUGCUGAUGCAUACGAAUACAAAGAGUUACACAGUCCAAUUCAAACAAAAAAAACCGAUUAUGCAGUGAAUUUCGCUUUGGUUCUAUUCUGAGCUUCAAAUGGAUCUUAUUAAAGAUUUCAUUUUCUAGAUGAAGGUCAAACUCAAUAAAAAAAAUCGAGGAAUUUAAAAAAAAAUUAACAGUUUAACACAGUUGGAAGCCAUUACAUAUGGUACAAAUUCUGCAAGACAAAAUAAUGCAAACUGGCAGUAUAACCUGAUCAGUAGCACAUGGUAUCAGACACGGAAUAUCUUUUCUUCCGUUGAAGAAUUCUGGGAAAGACGAGCUAAAACUAGGAGCAGCUUGGAUAGCGGAAAAGACUCCCGUUGAAGAGUGUCAAGUGUUUUGUCAACCUGACUUCCAGUUGGAAUUGGACACCCAGUGGCUUGACACAGCUUACGCAGUGAAUCCCCAGGACCAUUGUUUACAGAGUGUAAAGCACUGUGAACACGUGAC
Mercenaria mercenaria is the source of this 877-nucleotide long non-coding RNA. RefSeq lists it as uncharacterized. The record is from RefSeq and is a predicted model, not a curated record. Lineage: Eukaryota; Metazoa; Mollusca; Bivalvia; Venerida; Veneridae. The transcript has 3 exons.